RNAcentral lists this ribosomal RNA (802 nucleotides) under uncultured bacterium. Its description in RNAcentral is "bacterial SSU rRNA". It matches the Rfam family "Bacterial small subunit ribosomal RNA", at positions 8 to 796 of the family's 1533-position model. The record is from RNAcentral.
AGAGUUUGAUCCUGGCUCAGGACGAACGCUGGCGGCGUGCUUAACACAUGCAAGUGGUGCGACGAACCAGGGCUUGCCCUGGGGCAAAGCCGCGAACGGGUGAGUAACACGUGAGUAAUCUGCCCCGAUGACUGGGACAACCCGAGGAAACUCGGGCUAAUACCGGAUGAUGAGCCAAGGUUUAAGCCUUGUCUCUAAAGGAAGCUUCGGCCUCCGCAUUGGGAGGAGCUCGCGGCCCAUUAGCUUGUUGGUGAGGUAACGGCUCACCAAGGCGACGAUGGGUAGCUGGUCUGAGAGGACGAUCAGCCACACUGGGACUGAGACACGGCCCAGACUCCUACGGGAGGCAGCAGUGGGGAAUCUUGCGCAAUGCGCGAAAGCGUGACGCAGCAACGCCGCGUGGGGGAAGACGGCCUUAGGGUUGUAAACCCCUUUCAGGAGGGACGAAGGUUCACCGGUGAAUAGCCGUGUGGAUUGACGGUACCUCCACAAGAAGCACCGGCUAACUACGUGCCAGCAGCCGCGGUAAUACGUAGGGUGCAAGCGUUGUCCGGAAUCAUUGGGCGUAAAGCGCGCGUAGGUGGUCAUGUAAGUCCGCUGUGAAAGUCAAAGGCUCAACCUUUGAAAGCCGGUGGAUACUGCAUGACUAGAGUACGGAAGAGGCGAGUGGAAUUCCUGGUGUAGCGGUGGAAUGCGCAGAUAUCAGGAGGAACACCAAUAGCGAAGGCAGCUCGCUGGGACGUUACUGACACUGAGGCGCGAAAGCGUGGGGAGCGAACAGGAUUAGAUACCCCCGUAGUCC